CCAACUUUACUAAAAUUAGACAUGGAAAGAAUGGGAAGGAAUAGACAAAUAAACUAGCCUUAGAGGAAUGUCCUUUGGUUCAAUAGGACUUCAUGCAACUGGAAUGAGAGGUUACUUUUAGAGGCUUUUAUAAGUAACUCUUUGGAGCAAAGUAGGGGAAUAAAGACGUUUAAGAGUCCAAGUAUAAAGUUUAUUAAUUCAUUUAUUUAACAAACACUUGCUGAGUGCCUACUGUGUGGCAAAUAUUAUUCCCAAGUCUGCAUAAUAUAGGCAAUUGUUUUUGCAUUCAUCAUUCAGAACUUACACUGUAAUGAAGGAAGGAGAAAAGAAAAAUGAAAUGUAGAAAAAUGGAUGCAUGCUAAUAAGUGCUAUGGAAUAAAAAAGCAAAGCAAAGCAAAGUACAUUGUGAGUGUGAGGUAUGGGAUACAUUUAUUGAGUUGCUGUUUAAAAUAGAAUGAUCAGAAUAGACCCACCUUGAAGGUGAUAUUCAGCUUGUAUCAGAUACUUCAAUAUUUUAGAACAAGUCAGUAGUAAAAGGUUGACUGGUUCAUCUUGCAGGCAAAUUUACCAUGGAAAGGUGAGCAUUAUAAUAACUUUUAAGUAUAUGAGAACGUUUACAUUUGUGCACACACACUAGUGUAUAAUUAUCUCAUAGAUAUUAUCUUAGAAGGUUGUCGUUGUUAGCUCAUUUACAUGUGAAAUAUCAGACUCAGAGAGGUUAAGUGACUUGUCUGAGGUCAAUUGAUUAGUGCUUUUGGCUCUAAGUUCUUUCUUUAAAUUUUGUUAAGUUGUCUAUCUCUCGUAUUGAAUUUUUUACUAGCCUUUUAGAUGGCUGUUGUGAGAUAUCACAUUUUAUCACUUCCAGACUUAGUCCGAUUUCAUCUAAUUACUUUGAACAAUGAAUUAUUAUUUUUAAUUGGAAAAGUCUAGUUGUCAUUAUUAUUACUCUGACCAUAGAGAGUUAUUUCAUAUAAUCAUUCAUAUUUUUACCAUUUAAUGUUAUGAUAAUAUUCAUAAGCUUUAGCAUAGGCAGCCCAUUUAAUUGGCACUAUUGAAUGUCAGCACAGGCAUAAAAAUGCAGGUGAGUUUCUUUUAUUAAAAGUGCCCCAAACAGAGUCACAUGUCAAAUGUAAUAACAAUCUCAUAUUUCUGACUUACUUGCUUAUGAUUGUCCAUAAGCCAGUAAUAGGUUAUUCAAAGUCAUUAAAAUAAAUUGAUUUGAAAAAUUACAUUCAGUAAAAAUGCAUGUAGAAAGCAACAUUUAAUUCAGAGUAAUAAGUAUUUUUGUUUUGUUACACAUAAUGAAUGCAUCUAAGUAAAUUCCUACAGGGUCUUAUUAAAUAUUUUCAGUGAUGAUUGCUAGAUGCUUAGCAUGAUUUUCUGAAGUAUAUGAAAUAGAGUUAGAAACUGUCUUGGAGAUUAUAAUUAUGUGGCAUCGCACAAUUAUCACAUAGGAGCUGACAACCAGAAAAUAUAUAUUUUCUAAGUAAGUUGUGAUGCAAGAAAGCAAAGUUAUGAAAUCCAUUUUCCAUUAAUAGUUUAUAAGAGAGUUAUCUCUAACCUUUUUCUAACACAUACUUAGUAAUCAUCUCAAAUAUGUGAUACAGUGCAUAAAAAUUAAGAAUUAAUUAUAUUGGUAAGAAGUACUGAUUAAAAAUUAUUGAUGAGAGAAAUACAUUGAUCAUGAAAUAAAAUGUCCAUCAUGAUGAUGUUAAGAUGAGAACAGAGAAAGGUAGUAAUCUAACUCUAAAAAGACUUGUAGAUAUAUACAGAAUAUUCAAUCCAACAACAGAAUGCACAUUUUUCUCAAUUGCAUAUGGAAUAUUCUCCAGGAUAGAUCAUAUGUUAGAAAACAAAACAAGCCUCAGUAAAAUUAAGAAAGAUAGAAAUUAUAUCAAAUAUAUUUUCAGUUUGAAACUAGAAAUCAAUCAGGAGGAAUUUCAGAAAAUUCAUAAAUAUCCAGAAAUUAAACAACGUGCUCCUGAACAACCAGUUGGUCAGUGAACAAAUUAAAAGAAAAAUUAAAAUAUUUGCAACAAUUGAAAAUGGAAACACAGCAUACCAAACCUAUGAAAUACAGCAAAAGCAGCUCUAAGAGAAAAGUCUUUAGGAAUACAUGGACCCAUCGAAAAAGAAGAUCUCAAAUAAAUAACGUAAUGUUACACCUCAAGGAACUGGAAAAAGAACAAACCAAACGUACAUAAGCAGAAGGAAAGAAAUAAUAAAGAUCAGAGCAGAAAUAUGUGAAAUAGACACUAGAAAAAAAUACAAAAGAUUCUCAAAAUGAUUGAUUGGUUUUUGAAAAGAUAAACAAAAUUGAAAACCUUUAGCUAAACUAAAGUGGGCACAAAAUCAGAAAUGGAAAAGGAAACAUUAUAAUUGAUACCACAGAAAUACAAAAAAAUAUAGUGGACUACUAUGAACAAUUAUGCACUAAAAAAUUAAAUAACCCAGAAGAAAUAAAUUUCUAGACACAUAUAACCUACUAAGACUAAAUCAUGAAGAAGUAGGUCUCAAUAGAGAUUUCCCAUAACAAGCAAGGAAAUUAAAUCAGUGAUAAAAUGUCUACCUUCAAAGAAAAGCCCAGGACCUGAUGCCUUCACAGCAGAAUUCUAUCAAACAUUUAAAAAAGAACGAAUACCAAUCCUCAAAUUUUUCUGACAUAUCAAAGAGGAGGAAUGCUUGCAACCUUUUUUAAUGAAGCCAGCAUUACCCUGAUACCAAAGCCAGACAAGGACAUUACAAAAAAAGAAAACUGUAGGCCAAUCUUCGUGAUAAAUAUAGAUACAAAAAUCCUUAACAAAAUACUAGCAAACCAAAUUCAACAACACAUGGUGGAAGGAUCUUCCACCAUGAUCGAGUAGGAUUUAUCCCUGUGAUGCAACGAUUGUUGAAAUAUAUGCAAAUCAGUAAUUGUGAUACAUCACAAUAACAAAAUGAAGAACAAAAAUCAUACGAUCAUCUAAUUAGAUGCAUAAAAAGCUUUGACAAAAUUCAACAUCCUUGCGUGAUAAAAGCUCUCACCAAAUUAGGUAUAGAAGGAAUAUACAGUGAUACAAUAAAGACCAUAUAGGAGAAGCCAACAGCUAACAUUAUACUCAAUGUUCAAAAGUUGAAGUUCUUUUUAGAUUUCUCUAAAAUCUGAAACAAGGAAAGCUUACUCUUGCCACUUCUAUUCAACAUAGUAUUAAAAGUUCUUGCCAGAGCAAUUUUAUGUAAGAGAAAGAAAUAAGGCACUCAAAUAGGAAAAGAAGUGAAACUGCCUUUGCUGAGGACAUUAUCUUAUGUAUAGAAAAUGUAGAACACCCUACAGGUUUCACCUCAAAUCUGUUAGAACUAAAUUAAUACUGUAAAAUUGCAGAAUACAAAAUCAACAUACAAAAGUCAGCAGUGUUUCUAAAAACUAAUGGCAAAUUUUCUGAAAAAAAUCAAAGGUCAAUUUCAUUUAUAAAAUAGCUACAAAGAAAUAAAAUAGUUAAGAAUAAAUGAAAUUCAAUAAGAAGCAAAUAAACAGAAAAGUAUCUCAUGCUCAUGGACUGGAAGAAUUGCAUAUUUUUAUAAUAAAAUGUCUGUACAAUCCAAAGAGAUCUACAGAUUCAGUGCAGUGCUUAUCCAAAUUCCAGUGUAAUUUUUCAUAGCUAUAGAAAAAAACAACCGUAAAAUUCACAUGGAACUAAAAAUCCGUGAAUAAAGAAGGCAACCAUGAGCAAGAAGAACAAAGCUGGAGGCAUUACACUAUCUAAUUUCAAACUAUACUACAAAGCUGAAGCAAUUAAAACAGCAUGGUACUGGCAAAAAAAAAAAAUAGAUAUAUUAACCAAUUGAACAAAAUAGUGACCCCAGAAAUAAACCCAUGUAUGUACAGUCAAUUAAUUUUUAACAAAGAUGCCAAGAAUAUGCAAAGGGAAAAAGACAGUCUCUUCAAUAAAUGGUCUUGGGAACACUAAAUAUCCACAUGCAGGAGAAUAAAAUUGGAUCCUCAUCUCACACCAUAUACAAAAAACAAACCAAAAUGGAUUAAACACUUAAACAUGGCACCGGAACCUUUAAAGCUAAUAGAGGAAAACAUCAGUGAAAAUUCACACAACUUUGGGCCAUGAAAUUAUUUUUGGAUAUCACCCAAAACACGCAUGCAACAAAAGGAUAAAUAGACAAAUAGGAUUACAUCAAACUAAAAUUUCUGCACACCAAAGGAAACAACAACAUUCAAAGACAGCCUGUGGAUUGUCAGAAAAUAUGUGUAAGCCAUUCAUAUGAUAAGGGGUUAAUGUGCAAAAAAAUGCAAGUAACUCAACUCAACAGCAAAAAACAAAAAACCCAAUUAAGAAAGGGGCAAAAGACUCGAACAGACAUUUCUCAAAGGAAGACAUACAAAUGGCCAACAAAUAUAUACAAAAAUGUUCAACAUCACUAAUCACUACGCAAAUGCAAAUUUAAACCACAAUGAGAUAUCAUCUCACAUUUGUCAGAAUGGUUAUUAACAAAAGAUGAAAAAUAAGUGUUAGCAAGAUGUGGAGAAAAGGGAAGCCUCAUACGCUUGGUGAAAUGUAAAUUGGUGUGGGCCUUAUGGAGAACUGUGUAUGGAGGUUUUUCAAAAAAACUAAAAAUAGAAUUGGCAUAUAAUCCAGCAAUCCCACUUCUGGGUAUUUACUCACAAGUUUUAAAAUCAGUUUGUCAAAGAGAUGGAGAUGUCUGCACUCUAUGUUCUCUAUAGCAUUAUUCACUACAGCCAAGAAAGGGAAUCAAUCUACGUGUCCAUCAACAGAUGAAUGAAGAAAGAAAAUGUAUAUAUACACAAUAAAAUGCUAUUCAGGCUUAAAAAGAAUAUUCUGUUAUACGUAGCAACAUGAACAGAAUUGGAGAGCAUUAUACUAAAUGAAAUAAGCCAGGCAAAAAGAAAAUACCACAUAAUCUCACUUAUAUGUAGAAUCUAAAACAAUUAAACUCAUAGAAGCAGAAAGUAGAAUGGUGAUUACACAAAGCAGGGGCAUGGGAGAAUGAAGAAAUAGUAGUCAAAGGGCACAGAAUCUCAGAGACAGAAAGGAUAUGUUUUUCUUCUUGAGUUCUAUUGCACAGCAUGGUGAAUAUAGUUAAUAACACAUUGCAGUACAUUUCAAAACUGCUAAAAGAAUAAAUUUUUAAUGUUCUCAUCCCAGAAAAUUUUAACUGUUUGAAGUGAUGAAUAUGUUAACUAGCUUGAUUUAAUUAUUUCUCAAUAUAUUUGUAAAUCAUGACAUCACUUUUUGCCCCAUAAAUCCAUAUAAUUAUAAAUUGUCAAUUUACAACAGCAAGGGAAAUAGGUGAACCCAAGAGGUAGAAUCAUACCACUUGGGUUUGUUAUGCACCACUUCAUAAUGCAUUGGAUAUAGACAUAAAGGAAAGUGUGAUGUCAAAUAUGGCUUCUAAAUUUCAGAAUUGCAUGAUAUAUUGAUAGUUAUCAUUGUAUUAGUUAAUAUUAGAAGAGCAUCACGCAGGAAGAGAGGGAAUAAGGCACUUAGUUUUGCACAUGUUGAGUUUCAGGUACCUUAGUGGUUUACAAGUACA
This 5544-nucleotide long non-coding RNA is filed under the name Homo sapiens (human). RNAcentral describes it as "HSALNT0044555". The record is from RNAcentral. Lineage: Eukaryota; Metazoa; Chordata; Mammalia; Primates; Hominidae.